This 72-nucleotide transfer RNA is filed under the name Stegodyphus dumicola. Its description in RNAcentral is "tRNA-Thr". It matches the Rfam family "tRNA". From Rfam's summary of the family: Transfer RNA (tRNA) molecules are approximately 80 nucleotides in length. Lineage: Eukaryota; Metazoa; Arthropoda; Arachnida; Araneae; Eresidae. The record is from RNAcentral.
GCCUUCGUGGUGUAGUGGUCAGCACGCUCGGCGCGUAUUCGAGAGGCCCGGGUUCAAGUCCCGGCGAGGGCA